CAUUUGAAUUUUCUUUGUUUUCUUGUAUUUUUCCUUUAUUUUCAAGCUUUUUUCUUUUACAUUCAUAUGGAUGUUUGUAACGUCAGUCUAACUUUUUUAUUUCUCUUUUUUACCAAAAGUUUGCUGUGUGGUUAUUGUUGUUUAUCGCAAUUUUACAACUUUCAUGUCAAUUUCGAUUUUCGCAAAUUUCGCACACAUACGAAAAUCUGCACUGCAAUUUCGUUUGCUUUUAAAUGUUGAUUUUCUGUCUCUCGUUUUCACAACGCCGCCACAAAGACAAUAAGGUCGACGUGUUAGCAAGACUCUGCUGCUGCUCUCGCUACUUUUCACAAAUCUUCACAACGUGGGUGGAAAAUUUUCACAAAUUUAUUUCGCUUUUUUUAUUAAAAAUUUAUUAUUACACAAAUAUUUUUAUUAUUUAAAAAUGAUUCAAUAAGAGUUAUACAAGUACUUUUCCCAGCUAAUUUGCGUAUUCAUUACCAAUACCACUGCAAAAAUAAUACACAACUGCUGUAGGAGUAUUGCAAUUUUAUUGAGAUGUCAGAGUAUAUAGUUGCGAAAAAAAUAUUAAAUUAUAAUUUGUUGUACACAUUAAACAAUAUAAUGCGCUACGGUUAUGUCGUAGUCAACGAUAAAAAUCAUCCGUCUGGUUGAAAGGCACAAAACAAAUUACGUUGCGGUCGCGAGUUACGCCAGCAAAAGCAGCGAAGAUACCGGAGCAGACAUUAACGUCGACGUCGACGUGGUCUCUCGUACGACGGAGCACCACCAUUGCCGACGCAACACGAUGCGACGCUGGCUUUACUGCAGAUAGGGUGGGGUGUUGUGAGGCGAUAACAACAAUAAUAAUCACAGUUCGAAAGAGUAAUGAGAUAGUGGCAAAACAACAAAACGCCUCAAAACACACAUACAAAUAAAUUUGCGUCAGUAUAUAUGGCCAUUCAACGACAAAACAACAAUACAUUGUAAGCAACAGCAUUGUGCCAGUCACCGCAAGAACAACAAAUUCUCGUAGACAAAAAACAAUAACAACGAAAGAUUGAAUAUAAAAUACCCAUACAAUACAAGAAAAUGUGUUUACAUGACUACUUAUAUAUGCAUGUAUCUACGAAUGUAUAUAAAAUAGGGAGUGAAAUAAAGACCAAGGAGCGACAGAGGAGCUGCGAUGCGCUGCACUGCUAUAGUGUGUCACCAAAAAUUAGCUCUUCCCGACAAGCCAAGCGGAUAACAACAAUAAAAAUCAGCAACGAUAACAAAAAAGCUUAAGAAACAGCAUACAUAUGCCACUCAGUUUGUAUAUAAUGCAGUUACACUAAUAAAUAUAACACAUGAGCUUUAGGAGCAUGACCGAAAGCAGUCGAUUCUUAAGUAUUAAAAAUUAAAUAUGUAAUGUAAAAUGAAACAAAAUAGAAU
This is a long non-coding RNA of Ceratitis capitata (Mediterranean fruit fly), 1413 nucleotides long. RefSeq lists it as uncharacterized. The transcript is spliced from 3 exons. The record is from RefSeq and is a predicted model, not a curated record. NCBI's taxonomy places the organism in Eukaryota, Metazoa, Arthropoda, Insecta, Diptera, Tephritidae.